This 441-nucleotide ribosomal RNA is filed under the name uncultured bacterium. RNAcentral describes it as "partial 16S ribosomal RNA". It matches the Rfam family "Bacterial small subunit ribosomal RNA", at positions 338 to 795 of the family's 1533-position model. The record is from RNAcentral.
CCUACGGGUGGCAGCAGUGGGGGAUAUUGCACAAUGGGGGGAACCCUGAUGCAGCGACGCCGCGUGGGUGAAGGAGUGCUUCGGCAUGUAAAGCCCUAUCGGCAGGGAAGAAGCAAGACGGUACCUGACUAAGAAGCCCCGGCUAACUACGUGCCAGCAGCCGCGGUAAUACGUAGGGGGCGAGCGUUAUCCGGAUUCACUGGGUGUAAAGGGAGCGUAGACGGCCAUGCAAGCCAGGGGUGAAAGCCCGGGGCCCAACCCCGGGACUGCCCUUGAAACUGUGCGGCUAGAGUGCGGGAGGGGCAGGCGGAAUGCCUGGUGUAGCGGUGAAAUGCGUAGAUAUCAGGCGGAACACCGGCGGCGAAGGCGGCCUGCUGGGCCGCGACUGACGUUGAGGCUCGAAAGCGUGGGGAGCGAACAGGAUUAGAUACCCUUGUAGUC